UGUAAAUGAAGCAUCUGAGAUUGGAGUAAGUGGACAGUAAAACAUUGCAAACUGCAAGCCAAGUGCUGACGGAAAUACAAUGUCAGGUCUCCGAGAAUGCAGCCCUCUAUAAAUUGUGACUCGUCGCACUUAGGGAAGGCUGUGUGGGGAAGCUGACCCUGCAAGGCAUGAUGGACACUGAUUCUGAGAAAAAGGGCACUUCUGUCAGUGAGACAAGGAGAAUGAAAAGCAUUAAAAGACUACAUGCAAGAAUCACCAGACAGUGGCCAGGAGCACCUCCUUCCGUCUCCUUUACACCCAGACACUUCAUGCUUCUUGGAUUUAAAAACUGGACUCCAAAGGACAACAGCUGCACGUAUGACUUUUCAAACAGCUGACAUACAUCACUGGGCACACAGGAACCAAACCCUGCAGAAAUCUUUACAAAAUUCUUAGGUAUAGUCUGCUGAAAGAAAUGGUUAAAAAGAAGAGGCAAGAAAGCAACUUGAGGUUUGGGGAGUCUUCCUAGAAGAAUCGCUAAGCAGACAGCAUAGGGGUGGGAGGAAUUCUAAAGGCUGGGGACAAAAGCCCAGGUCUGGAAAUAGUUACUCUAUUUCAAGAUGUGUCCUGCAGAACUGUACUUUACAAGAAGUUAAUUACACUUGUGAAAGCUGCAAUCAUUCUGUGAUUAUCUAUGUUCUCACUAAAUCCCUAGGAGAGCAAGGGAUCAGUGUGUCACAUUAAGAAAAAUGUAAACCAAACAAGGUAUAAAAACAGAUGUGAAAGCAACAAAUCCAUGCAAAACAGUCUUCACUACUACUGGUUAUACAGCAUCUAGUUUAAUUUUUUAGAACUACUCCUAGGAUAUAUUGACAUAGAUCACUUUCUCAUCAAAAGUUAACUCAAAUUAUCAUUCCAUUCUCAAAAAAGUCAUGUGAUUCUAUAAAUCAAGAUAAGACCUGAAACCAAAACUACCCUACAAAUAUAUACCACCUGUCAAGGAAAACAAAGGUCUUAUUAUCACCUUAUUGCCAAAGAUAAAUGAUUAAUAACUGAUGUUUUAAGUAUCCACUCUUAAACUUAGAUACUAUAAAUAUGCCUGGAGACCCCCCAAAUAAUAUUUUUAUCAAUAUUUUAAAAUGGGUUUUAGCCCAAAAUAUUGUAAAUAAAAUAUACUGAUUUUCUUUUUCCUUAGGAAAAGUCUGAAAU
Molecule: long non-coding RNA, 1188 nt
Organism: Suricata suricatta (meerkat)
Lineage: Eukaryota; Metazoa; Chordata; Mammalia; Carnivora; Herpestidae
Exons: 3
Source: RefSeq, a predicted model, not a curated record